UAGUCCACGCCGUAAACGAUGGUCACUAGCUGUGUGGAUUUCGGUCUGCGUGGCUAAGCGAAAGUGAUAAGUGACCCACCUGGGGAGUACGUUCGCAAGAAUGAAACUCAAAGGAAUUGACGGGGGCCCGCACAAGCGGUGGAGCAUGUGGUUUAAUUCGAUGAUACGCGAGGAACCUUACCAGGGCUUAAAUGUAAGUUGCAUUAGCUAGAGAUAGCUAUUUCUUCGGACUACUUACAAGGUGCUGCAUGGUUGUCGUCAGCUCGUGCCGUGAGGUGUCAGGUUAAGUCCUAUAACGAGCGCAACCCCUGUUGUUAGUUGCCAGCAUGUAAAGAUGGGAACUCUAACAAGACUGCCGGUGCAAACCGCGAGGAAGGUGGGGAUGACGUCAAAUCAUCACGGCCCUUACGUCCUGGGCUACACACGUGCUACAAUGGUAGGGACAGAGAGCAGCCACACUGCGAGGUGGAGCUAAUCUCAGAAAACCGUUCGUAGUCCGGAUUGG
RNAcentral lists this ribosomal RNA (505 nucleotides) under uncultured bacterium. RNAcentral describes it as "bacterial SSU rRNA". It matches the Rfam family "Bacterial small subunit ribosomal RNA", at positions 791 to 1301 of the family's 1533-position model. The record is from RNAcentral.